UACGGAGGGUGCAAGCGUUAUCCGGAUUCACUGGGUUUAAAUGGUGCGUAGGCGGGUAUAUAAGUCAGUGGUGAAAGCUCCGGGCUUAACUUGGAAACUGCCAUUGAUACUGUAUAUCUUGAAUGUCGUUGAGGUUAGCGGAAUGUUGCAUGUAGCGGUGAAAUGCUUAGAUAUGUUACAGAACACCAAUUGUGAAGACAGCUAACUAAGCGAUGAUUGACGCUGAGGCACGAAAGCGUGGGGAGCAAACAGG
Molecule: ribosomal RNA, 253 nt
Filed under: uncultured bacterium
Lineage: Bacteria
Description: partial 16S ribosomal RNA
Rfam family: Bacterial small subunit ribosomal RNA
Source: RNAcentral